CACCACACAAACCCUAAUUUCAUUUUCAAUUAGAUUCCUCUGCCGUUUCUUCUCUACCUCUCUAUUACGUUUGUGUGAAUAAGUGGUAAUGGUACUUCCUUACAAACCCUAAUUUUUAUCUCAGCGUUCUUCUGUCUGUCGUUCAUUCCUAUUCGCAAGGAAUCAAGACUUCAAAAUCACCAAGAACCGCAUCAACAAUCAACAUAAUAUGGUAUCUUCAGUGAUUCUUGCUUCCAUCACUAAGACAAGAAUUUUUCCAUCACCGAUUAACCGGUCAGGUACAUAUAUUCGUAUCACGAUCCAGUUCGAAGCGAUUAUGAUCAAAUAUUGUGUGAUUCCAGCAAGAAUUUGUUCUUCACUGGCGAAUCGGCUAUGGAUAUCUUUACAACCCACGUUUGAAGAGGCGGAGGGAUUAUAUCACUAGAGAACUUAUUGGAUUUUAUCAAGAAUUUCCAACAUCUCAAGGCAUAUAACUUUACAUAAUGACAACGUUAUAUGGAAAACUGGGGUGCUUAUGGUGUCUUGCCUACGCUCACUUGUAGUGUCAGUUAAGUGAUCCUCCUGUUGAAGAUGCAUCAGAUCAAUUGGUUAGCCGGCUGUCCUAUUUAUUCUCAAACGAGAUCUAUUCCAUAUGUCAUCGAAUGAGCGGUCAAAUUCGAGCAGCUUUACAUAGAGCGGGUUCCCUCAACGGUUUCAUCCCCAUUUCAGUGAUGCCCAUUUUUUAUUCAAAGAUAUCUUACUGUGUAAGAGCAUAACACCUGAAACUGCUCAAAACCAUUGGAAGUAAUGUCGAUAAUCAGGGAUGCUGCCACGAGGUUAUCUGAACCUGUACUCAUUUCUAAUGAGUUUAUGUCGUUGAAAAGAACAAGUCCAUACCCUCCUGAUGUCUUGGAAUCUAUGGAAGUUGACUUUGAUAAAAAACUUAUGUUAAAUUUCUUCGUAUGCCAUAUUUGGUUGAAAAGGUUGUUGAGCCUUUGACUCUAGAUGUUUCGGCAAACACGUAUUACAUAGACGCCAUUGCUAGAGAACUUGGAGCUGCAGAUGCUUCUAUGGUUUCGCUCUCCAGGUGCAUUGGAAAAUCUUCUUCUGAAACAAGGUUGUAUUCUCAUGCUCCGAAUUCAUACAAGUGGGAUAAAGAAAAUUUUAAAGAUGGGUCGUAUUUAAAUGCGAGGGCAAGUUAUUUAUCUGGUCAGAAUGUAUACGGUGAUGCAAUUUUGGCUACUAUUGGAUACUUGUGGAAGUCUUGUGAUCUUUUCCUUGAAGACGUAUCUCCCCGCACAUAUUAUAGGUUACUUAUGAAUAAGUUACCCGCUGGUAUAUAUAAGUUAUCACGUGAAGUAGUACUUGCAGCUGAAUUGCCUCCAAAAUUUGGUACCCAGAGUAAUUGGAGGGGUUUAUUUCCAAGGGAUAUUCUCUGCACAUUCUUAUAUAUUUUAUUAUUAAAUAAUAUGUUAGAUCUGAUUAUAAUAAUAUUAUUUUUAGAGUAAAGUACAUGGAUGGCACCUAUGGUUUACCAAAAUAUUGGAUUUGGUCCUUAGAAAGUACACAGAUGGUCCCUGUGGUUUACACUUUGUAAUGGGUUCAUCUAGGCCAAAAUUCUAUGGAUAGCGACUAGAAGUAUCUCUUCCCUGUUAUGUGUUUAUACCGAUACAAUUAGUUAUGCCAUGAGUUCAUCUAGGCCAAAAUUCAAUUGGAAAAUUCAGACAAGUUGGUCUGGUGAUGUAGGUGUAGAUGAGACUGGUGUGGAGCCCAAUGAAAUCGACCUGGUUAUGACUCAAAAUGACUGUCAAGAUCAAAGGUCGUUAAGGCUUUUUAAAUGCUGCAAAUGGUCAACGGAGAUGUUAAGGUCAUUUUAUUCUCAUACGUGUCAAGGGAAACAUGGGAAUUUAGAAGUUAACCGUGAAGGCAUCUACUUACAACAUGACAAAGAUUAGUGAUCGGGAGUCAUUUAUGUUCCUUAGUUACUAAUUUUUAGUUCGAUCAUAUCUCUUGCUAUCUCUUAUCCUACUCAUGAUAUCGUAUGACAUUGUAGACUGGGAGACCAAUUGUGUAUGGGUUGGGCCGCAAAAGGGAGAGUAUGGAGUUAGAAGAAAUGUUGAAAUAUGAACUUAAGCUCAAAAUAGCUCUUUCUGGCUGCCCCACUCUCAAUGAUAUAUGGAUAUAUUUUUUCAGAGGGCUGUAGAACUUUUCUUCUUUUUGUGGUAGUGAAAAUAAUCAAUUUCUGUAUUAGGUUUAUGGCGUUGCAGUUAUAUUUUUGCUGAAAGGAGUUGCUAUUUGAGAGACUAAAAAGGAAGCAAUCACGUACCAAUGUAUUGAGUGACUGUCCUCAAGUAAAUGAUCAAUAUUAUUGAGAGACGCAUGGGGACUAGAUAAAAUUGUGAGGGUGUGCUUAUGUCUCCAGUUAAUUUCAUGCUUACAACAAGUUCAUUAAUUAUGACAUUGAACAGGUCGUCUCCUUCAAGGAAAGGUAUGUCAUGUACUUGGAUAUCAUAUAGAUACGUCAUGUGCUUGGAGAUUAUUCAAGGGUACACUCAAAUUACUUAUUUACUUAUGUUCCUUAAACACAUGGUCUUUACCAAAUUGGAGGGAUGUUUACUUUCAUUUCACAUGUAUGCAUGUAACGACUUCAAAAAUACUUUUUGCCCGUCUAACCCGUUCAAUUCUUUACAACUUUUUUAUGCUAUUCUUGUGAAAAUUUUCUAUUUUACUGAUUUAUAUAGAUGAGUUCAAGGGAUAAGAACAUCUGGUUUCAUUAAAUGGUUAUUGAAUAGGUGAAGAAUAUUCUUCAUAAAACUGUCAUCUUAGUAUUGUUGGUUGUGGUUUAAGGGACUAAGAUGGCUUACAACUUUGGCGGAUUUGAGAAUUGAUAUCCACAUAUAUAUAUUUAGAAUAAGGAACUUUAGAGCAAUUAGUAUGACAUGUAAAAUAGGAUUUAGUAAAAAAAAGUAUCUUUUGUCUGCAUAAAUAUUACUAUUUUUGUGCGUGCGGCUGAUGCUGGACCGCCUUGACAACCAAAGUCGUGAUCUUUAAUGGAUCAUAAGCAGUUAACAAGUUUGCCUAAAUUUUGAAAACUUUAUAACUCUUCUUAUAGCGGUGACAUUAAUGUCAAAAUAGCUCUUUCUGGCUGCCCCACUCUCAAUGAUAUAUGGGUAUCACUUUGUUUAUGAUUUAUUAAGCGACUUCAAGGAUAUCGAAUUUUAGGUGUCUGUUAAAUCAAAGAGGACUUGCAUCUAUAACGUUGGAUGUGGUAGGGCGUGCUACACCAACUGGACUGAGCUCAUGUUACUUUUAGUAAAUUGUAAAUGUAACAUUAUUUGUCUUUUUCUUGAUGUUUUUGUACACGACUUAUAACAUACCUAAUGAUACAAUCCACUUUGUUACUAAUU
Long non-coding RNA from Helianthus annuus (common sunflower), 3386 nucleotides. RefSeq lists it as uncharacterized. The transcript has 13 exons. The record is from RefSeq and is a predicted model, not a curated record. NCBI's taxonomy places the organism in Eukaryota, Viridiplantae, Streptophyta, Magnoliopsida, Asterales, Asteraceae.